AGCAGCUCCCGACAUUCCAGGGUUGGUUUUCCUUCAUUUUGCUCAAUCUCAGCCAAGACAGGCUUUGUGCUGGUUUCUUCUGCACUUUCAUGAUAUGAUGUUGCAAGAAAGAAACAAGAGGAUGCCGUGAUGAAACGGAAAAUUACUAACUGGCCUUCUUGUGGAUGACAGUGCAUAUUCUGCUCAAAUAGUGGUCACUUGGCAGUGUUUUCCUGAAAGGAAGCCUGGGAUGUUAUUACAGCCUGUCACCACCAAUGGCCUUCAUGCUGAGGACCUUGGAGGAACUUCUCUAAAAAAGAAGACUGAAGAUGAAAAGAUUCUCCAGGAAGUUGCAGCCUAUCUAAAAGAAAUAAAUGAUAACUCUAUUGACUCUACCCUCGGGCCUCAGGAGUGAGCUUCAUUACUGAAAAGUCAUGGGAAGUCAUGUUUAUUGUCUCAGCAGGUAGCUGCACUUUAAGUGUAAUACUGAAAGACAUGAGAAAGCAGAGGCCAGUUUGUGUUAUUAGAGACACACUACAGCUUCCCGACAGAUGUGCACAGCAGAAAAAAAAUUAGAGCAGUACA
This is a long non-coding RNA of Mauremys reevesii (Reeves's turtle), 564 nucleotides long. RefSeq lists it as uncharacterized. Lineage: Eukaryota; Metazoa; Chordata; Testudines; Geoemydidae. The transcript has 5 exons. The record is from RefSeq and is a predicted model, not a curated record.